Molecule: non-coding RNA, 442 nt
Organism: Paramuricea clavata
Lineage: Eukaryota; Metazoa; Cnidaria; Anthozoa; Malacalcyonacea; Plexauridae
Source: the annotation of a GenBank genome assembly
CCAGUCUCCAGCUUGGACUACCCAUGAUUCAACGCGGGCACACAACACGUUCUCUCGAGAAAAAGUAUCUUUUACAAAUUUUGUAAAGUUUGUGUAAAAAGCACAGUAUUUUUCAACAAUUCUGGUCGAGACAGGACGUUUUGAAGGCUAGCAGCCUACGGAGGGCUUAAAAUGCCUCAGAAAGCGUACGGUUCGGGCGCGAACGCGGUGCCUAUGGGUAAACUCCAUCCAGUUUUGGCCGCCAAAAGACAAGACAGCCAUGGCCAUGAUGGUGGACAAAGACCCCCCUUACCUCCGAUGAAUUAUGGCCCACCGGUAUCGUAUCAACCUCUCCCACCUCCCUCAAUGCCCAUGACUCCACAGCCGAGGCCUCCUCUUCCCCCACAGCCCUAUCCCGAGGCGAAUAAUGGUUCCUCAAAGCGAAGUAUGGAAAGUGCAGGUU